AAUGAACGCUGGCGGCAUGCCUUACACAUGCAAGUCGAACGGCAGCAUGACCUAGCUUGCUAGGUUGAUGUCGAGUGGCGAACGGGUGAGUAAUGCAUCGGAACGUGCCUUUUAGUGGGGGAGAACGUAGCGAAAGUUACGCUAAUACCGCAUAUUCUCUGAGGAGGAAAGCAGGGGACCUUCGGGCCUUUCGCUAGAAGAGCGGCGGAUGUCGGAUUAGCUAGUUGGUGAGGUAAAGGCUCACCAAGGCAACGAUCCGUAGCGGGUCUGAGAGGAUGAUCAGCCACACUGGAACUGAGACACGGCCCAGACUCCUACGGGAGGCAGCAGUGGGGAAUUUUGGACAAUGGGCGCAAGCCUGAUCCAGCCAUGCCGCGUGAGUGAAGAAGGCCUUCGGGUUGUAAAGCUCUUUCGGCUGGGAAGAAAUCGCACCCUCUAAUACAGGGUGUGGAUGACGGUACCAGCAUAAGAAGCACCGGCUAACUACGUG
RNAcentral lists this ribosomal RNA (490 nucleotides) under uncultured bacterium. Its description in RNAcentral is "partial 16S ribosomal RNA". It matches the Rfam family "Bacterial small subunit ribosomal RNA", at positions 29 to 507 of the family's 1533-position model. The record is from RNAcentral.